Non-coding RNA from Flavobacterium sp. 40-81, 316 nucleotides. NCBI's taxonomy places the organism in Bacteria, Pseudomonadati, Bacteroidota, Flavobacteriia, Flavobacteriales, Flavobacteriaceae. The record is from Rfam.
CCCGCAGACCGCCUUAUCGUCGUUCCGUAAGGAAGGGAGGAAAGUCCGGACACCAGAGAGUAGCAUAGCGGGUAACACCCGUCAGUUUGUCUUCGGACAGAUUAGGACAAGUGCAACAGAAAGUAUGUACAGGUAAUGCUGUAGUGAAACCAGGUAAACUCUAUGCGGUGAAAUGCCAUGUAUAUCAACAUUUAAGGGCUGCUCGUCCGUUGUUGAGGGGUAGGCAGAUGGAUCUCACUGGUAACGGUGAGACUAGAUAAAUGAUAAGGGUCCGCUUCGGCGGAUACAGAAUCCGGCUUACAGGUCUGCAUUAUUU